This 253-nucleotide ribosomal RNA is filed under the name uncultured bacterium. RNAcentral describes it as "partial 16S ribosomal RNA". It matches the Rfam family "Bacterial small subunit ribosomal RNA", at positions 524 to 776 of the family's 1533-position model. The record is from RNAcentral.
GACAGAGGAUGCAAGCGUUAUCCGGAAUGAUUGGGCGUAAAGCGUGCGUAGGUGGUUUGUUAAGUCUGUUGUGAAAGCCCCGGGCUCAACCUGGGAAUGGCAAUGGAUACUGGCAAGCUAGAGUGCGGUAGAGGGUAGUGGAAUUCCCGGUGUAGCGGUGAAAUGCGUAGAGAUCGGGAGGAACACCAGUGGCGAAGGCGGCUACCUGGACCAGCACUGACACUGAGGCACGAAAGCGUGGGGAGCAAACAGG